CCUACGGGAGGCAGCAGUGGGGAAUAUUGCACAAUGGGGGAAACCCUGAUGCAGCGACGCCGCGUGAGUGAAGAAGUAAUUCGUUAUGUAAAGCUCUAUCAGCAGGGAAGAACAUGACGGUACCUGAGUAAGAAGCCCCGGCUAACUACGUGCCAGCAGCCGCGGUAAUACGGAGGGGGCAAGCGUUCUCCGGAUUUACUGGGUGUAACGGGAGCGUAGGCGGCAGUGCAAGUCUGGAGUGAAAGGCGGGGGCUCAACCCCCGGACUGCUCUGGAAACUGGACGGCUGGAGUGCAGGAGAGGUAAGUGGAAUUCCUAGUGUAGCGGUGAAAUGCGUAGAUAUUAGGAGGAACACCAGUGGCGAAGGCGACUUACUGGACUGUAACUGACGUUGAGGCUCGAAAGCGUGGGGAGCAAACAGGAUUAGAUACCCCUGUAGUC
Molecule: ribosomal RNA, 440 nt
Filed under: uncultured bacterium
Lineage: Bacteria
Description: partial 16S ribosomal RNA
Rfam family: Bacterial small subunit ribosomal RNA
Source: RNAcentral